RNAcentral lists this long non-coding RNA (519 nucleotides) under Hordeum vulgare. Its description in RNAcentral is "long non-coding RNA (HVUL_LNC010799)". Lineage: Eukaryota; Viridiplantae; Streptophyta; Magnoliopsida; Poales; Poaceae. The record is from RNAcentral.
CCAAGUCCAUGAGGCAGGCCGGCGGCUACGAGGUGAUCAAGAAGGCCAUCGAGAAGCUUGGCAAGCGCCACAUGCAGCACAUCGCCGCCUACGGCGAGGGCAACGAGCGCCGCCUCACCGGCCACCACGAGACCGCCGACAUCAACACCUUCAAAUGGGUACGUGCUGCCACAUCUGUUGUACUACUGUGUUGCCUGUCGUGUCUGACUCUUACCUGACGAUGAUGAAUCGAUGAUGAUGAUGAUGAUGAUGCAUUUAGGGCGUGGCGGACCGCGGCGCGUCCAUCCGCGUGGGGCGCGACACGGAGAAGGACGGCAAGGGCUACUUCGAGGACCGCAGGCCGGCCUCCAACAUGGACCCCUACGUCGUCACCUCCAUGAUCGCCGAGACCACGCUUCUCCUCUGAGCACACGGCCGGCAAUGCCUACUCCACCGCCAGAUGACACUUUGGGCAGGCUCUCGUCUCGACUCUCUCGAUCGAGGGUGGUGAUUGAUUUCUGCAAAACGUUUCCCGUUUCC